RNAcentral lists this microRNA (22 nucleotides) under Heligmosomoides polygyrus. RNAcentral's name for it is "hpo-miR-252-3p". Its record names the gene hpo-miR-252-3p. Lineage: Eukaryota; Metazoa; Nematoda; Chromadorea; Rhabditida; Heligmosomidae. The record is from miRBase by way of RNAcentral.
UACCUGCUGUCUGCUGCUUACC